CAGCAGCCGCGGGAAUACGGAGGGGGCUAGCGUUGUUCGGAAUUACUGGGCGUAAAGCGCACGUAGGCGGCUUGGUAAGUUAGAGGUGAAAGCCCGGAGCUCAACUCCGGAAUUGCCUUUAAGACUGCCGAGCUAGUAGGUGAGAGAGGUGAGUGGAAUUCCGAGUGUAGAGGUGAAAUUCGUAGAUAUUCGGAAGAACACCAGUGGCGAAGGCGGCUCACUGGCUCAUUCUAGACGCUGAGGUGCGAAAGCGUGGGGAGCAAACAGGAUUAGAUACCCCGGUAGUCCCUGUCUCUUAUAC
This 301-nucleotide ribosomal RNA is filed under the name uncultured bacterium. Its description in RNAcentral is "partial 16S ribosomal RNA". It matches the Rfam family "Bacterial small subunit ribosomal RNA", at positions 509 to 807 of the family's 1533-position model. The record is from RNAcentral.